RNAcentral lists this ribosomal RNA (559 nucleotides) under Streptomyces galilaeus. RNAcentral describes it as "bacterial SSU rRNA". It matches the Rfam family "Bacterial small subunit ribosomal RNA", at positions 75 to 650 of the family's 1533-position model. Lineage: Bacteria; Bacillati; Actinomycetota; Actinomycetes; Kitasatosporales; Streptomycetaceae. The record is from RNAcentral.
CCACUUCGGUGGGGAUUAGUGGCGAACGGGUGAGUAACACGUGGGCAAUCUGCCCUUCACUCUGGGACAAGCCCUGGAAACGGGGUCUAAUACCGGAUAACACUUCUGCUCUCAUGGGCAGGGGUUAAAAGCUCCGGCGGUGAAGGAUGAGCCCGCGGCCUAUCAGCUUGUUGGUGAGGUAAUGGCUCACCAAGGCGACGACGGGUAGCCGGCCUGAGAGGGCGACCGGCCACACUGGGACUGAGACACGGCCCAGACUCCUACGGGAGGCAGCAGUGGGGAAUAUUGCACAAUGGGCGAAAGCCUGAUGCAGCGACGCCGCGUGAGGGAUGACGGCCUUCGGGUUGUAAACCUCUUUCAGCAGGGAAGAAGCGAAAGUGACGGUACCUGCAGAAGAAGCGCCGGCUAACUACGUGCCAGCAGCCGCGGUAAUACGUAGGGCGCAAGCGUUGUCCGGAAUUAUUGGGCGUAAAGAGCUCGUAGGCGGCUUGUCACGUCGGGUGUGAAAGCCCGGGGCUUAACCCCGGGUCUGCAUUCGAUACGGGCUAGCUAGAGUGUG